CGCUCAUCCAGAGGGGCAGAGGGACACGGCCCGUUGAAGCCCCGGCAACCCUCCAGCCGGUUCUCGUACCGAUCAUCGUCGAUCGCUGCCGCGAGGCCCCGGCUAGGGAAGGUGCCAAAUCCGUCUCACGGCGAGAUGCGUCGUGAGGAAGAUGAGGA
RNAcentral lists this non-coding RNA (158 nucleotides) under Streptomyces sp. Its description in RNAcentral is "SAM-I sequence". It matches the Rfam family "SAM riboswitch aptamer (S box leader)". Rfam says of the family: The SAM riboswitch is found upstream of a number of genes which code for proteins involved in methionine or cysteine biosynthesis in Gram-positive bacteria. The SAM riboswitch acts at the level of transcription termination control. RNAcentral also lists the same sequence under 1 other name. The record is from RNAcentral. Lineage: Bacteria; Bacillati; Actinomycetota; Actinomycetes; Kitasatosporales; Streptomycetaceae.